This 255-nucleotide ribosomal RNA is filed under the name uncultured bacterium. RNAcentral's name for it is "partial 16S ribosomal RNA". It matches the Rfam family "Bacterial small subunit ribosomal RNA", at positions 524 to 776 of the family's 1533-position model. The record is from RNAcentral.
UACGUAGGGUGCAAGCGUUAUCCGGAAUUAUUGGGCGUAAAGAGCUCGUAGGCGGUUUGUCGCGUCUGCUGUGAAAACUGGAGGCUCAACCUCCAGCUUGCAGUGGGUACGGGCAAACUAGAGUGCGGUAGGGGAGAUUGGAAUUCCUGGUGUAGCGGUGAAAUGCGCAGAUAUCAGGAGGAACACCGGUAGUGCGAAGGCGGGUCUCUGGGCCGUAACUGACGCUGAGGAGCGAAAGCAUGGGGAGCGAACAGG